CCACUUAAAGCCCUGGCUGGGUGGCUCAGUUGGUUAGAGCGUCAUCAAGAUAUGCCAUGGUUGUGGUGCAUCCUGGUCAGGGCACAUACAAGAUACAACCACUGUCCUGGCCAACUGUGGCUCAGUUGGUUGAGCACUUGGUUCAAUUCCCAGUCAGGGAGAUUGGAAGAUCACA
Molecule: long non-coding RNA, 175 nt
Organism: Myotis davidii
Lineage: Eukaryota; Metazoa; Chordata; Mammalia; Chiroptera; Vespertilionidae
Exons: 3
Source: RefSeq, a predicted model, not a curated record